GUGCCUGCAGGAAAACACAGACAAAAGAGGGAGAGAGAGAGAGAGAGAACUACGUGUCAAAAUCUUGUGCAAAAAGCUUGUUCUUAUGGAGGGUUUGAGGCUCUGCAGCACCUCCUGGUGGGAGCACUUGGUAAGUGCAGCCUGUUGUCACAGUCCAACAACAACAACUACUUGCAUUUACAUAGCGUCUCUCCGAGGGCCCAACAGUGGCAGAGCCUGACGCCGAGGAGGUGACCGCAAGCACGGUCGAAGCGAAGCCCACCCUAAUAUCAACCAAUUCCAGACUGGUCCAGACAAUUGGGGGAAAGACCAAAAGAAAAGUUUUAAUCCCGGGCAUCGUCCUGAAAGAAAACCUCUGCAAAUAGAUGUCAGUGUGCGUGUAGUACUGUAGUGAGCUUUAACCUCUAAAAGCUCAGUACAGCACUACACGCAGAAGUCGCUUUCUUUAGAACAUGAUUUUGUUCUGACCGCUUUCUAUUUCGGUCGUUUCAAUUGACGUGUUUCCAGGGAACUUGUUUGCAACGGCUGGGUUAGGGACUGUGAUCGUUAAGAUAGAUUUAAGUGAGCUACACGACGUGACUGACCAUUCAUCAAAGUGCUUCCGUGAUGCCACUGCAGACCAAUUUUAGUCAACACAAUUUUUUUUAUCUAUGUAUGUGUAUAUAUAUAUAUAUAUAUAUAGAGCGAGAGAGAGAUGGGAACAUUUCCGAAUGAGAUGUUUUCACAAGGAACGAAACGAUCUUCAAAUCAAAUAGCUGAACAUGAAUCAAUCGUAGCGCAAGACGGGCAAAUUACUUCAGUGCGAACACAGUUUCAACCCCAACUGAGAAAAUCAGAGGGAACAGUCAUGUUUUUAUCUAGAUCGAAAGGGAAAGAAAUUCGGUUAAAUGAUUUGGAGGGCACUGGGUAAAUAAUGCUGGCUCACAGAUAACCGAAUGGAUCGUACAUUGACCUCCACUGGAAAAAGGGCAAGGGGCAAAAUAUCGAUGUGAAUUCUAAUUGUAGUGUGUUAUUAAAUGUGUUAAAAGGUAAUCAAGAAAAGAAAUGUUAACCAGGCACUGGGACUCUUGCAUCAUAGUCUUUGAACAAUACAACAACAACUUGCAUUUGUAUGGCGCCCUUCACACAGGGCAAGGUUUCGGAGCGCUCACUGGGAAUGUUUCCCAAGUAUGAAAGCCACACAGAUUUUCAGUUUCUUCCAGUGCUCCUUUUUCUUCAAGGGAUGGGUUUGAACGAUUGACUGCUCACUUGGUAAUUCCUGCAUACAGCUUGCGGGUGUGCGAGGAAUAAUGAAAAGGACUAAAACAGACAUAAGGGUACAACUAAGCAUUCAAGUUUGUUUUUCCCCCUCCUCCGACAUCUGUCUGCUUACGGAUGAAAAGGCAACGAGAAUUGCUGAAAGAAUCAAAAUGUGCUUGAGAUUUCGUUUUGAAAGGAACAAAAGAUUUACUGUAAAAAAAAUGGACAGUGGCAAACAGGACACUAUGGAAAGAAGAUUAUGAUGUUGGGGCUGCCAGUAAGAGGCAGUAGCAGCUGUAGCUUGGACCUUUCGCAGGCGAACAAAUCAAUCCGUCAAAACGAGUGAACUUUCGGAUCACAUCAAAUCAAGGUGACGAUAACAUAGCGUGGAUAGUGCAAGGCACAUUCGGCCAGCAAAUGAUUUUUGGGCAGUGAACCACCACAUGGACUCAUCCUGGCCUUGGAGUGCAGGUCUGAACAGUUAACUGGGGAACACAAGCAAAAGGUUUUGCUACUCGAUUACACAACUCUAAGCUACAGCUGAUCGGAUUGACGUCUGCUGCGUUCUGCUUCACCCAAAGUGAAAUAAACAAUUCUGAAAAUGCCUGUGUACCCAACAUGAUCAUAAAAA
Molecule: long non-coding RNA, 1870 nt
Organism: Callorhinchus milii (elephant shark)
Lineage: Eukaryota; Metazoa; Chordata; Chondrichthyes; Chimaeriformes; Callorhinchidae
Exons: 4
Source: RefSeq, a predicted model, not a curated record